RNAcentral lists this ribosomal RNA (253 nucleotides) under uncultured bacterium. Its description in RNAcentral is "partial 16S ribosomal RNA". It matches the Rfam family "Bacterial small subunit ribosomal RNA", at positions 524 to 776 of the family's 1533-position model. The record is from RNAcentral.
UACGGAGGGUGCGAGCGUUGUCCGGAAUCACUGGGCGUAAAGGGCGCGUAGGAGGCGCGGGAAGUCAACGGUGAAAGUUCGGGGCUCAACCCUGAAUCGGCCGUCGAUACUCCCGGGCUCGAGCACUGUAGAGGCAGAUGGAAUUCCGGGUGUAGCGGUGGAAUGCGUAGAGAUCCGGAAGAACACCGGUGGCGAAGGCGGUCUGCUGGGGUCGAACUGACGCUGAGGCGCGACAGCGUGGGGAGCAAACAGG